CACGUAGGGCGCGAGCGUUGUCCGGAAUUAUUGGGCGUAAAGAGCUCGUAGGUGGUCCGCCACGUCCGCUGUGAAAACCCAGGGCUUAACCCUGGGCUUGCAGUGGAUACGGGCAGACUAGAGGUAGGUAGGGGAGAAUGGAAUUCCCGGUGUAGCGGUGAAAUGCGCAGAUAUCGGGAGGAACACCUGUGGCGAAAGCGGCUCACUGGACCAUAACUGACGCUGAGGCACGAAAGCUAGGGGAGCAAACAG
This 252-nucleotide ribosomal RNA is filed under the name uncultured bacterium. Its description in RNAcentral is "partial 16S ribosomal RNA". It matches the Rfam family "Bacterial small subunit ribosomal RNA", at positions 524 to 775 of the family's 1533-position model. The record is from RNAcentral.